CCGAGAAUCUGCAGGACUGAGACAGAGUGAGCACUGACCAGAAGGCGGCUGCUGAGGCAUCUCUGAUAGAUACCUGACUACACCGCAUGGCACAAACGGGACAGUUUCUGCGCAACCAUCCGCAGCUUUGGAGCGGACCAUAAAUAAAAACCGGAGAGUGAUUUCCAUAGUUCUGCCAGCUCAGACCCACCAAAGGUGGAUUACCAAGAGGCCGAACCAAAGCAUCUUGAACAAGAGUGAUUUUUCUCCUUCCUUCUCGCUCCUUCAGAAGACAUCAGCUGAAACACAUGAUACAGUAAGUAGCAGACACUGCUGGAUGCUUGGGAGGGCAGCAGGUGUUAAGAACACUAACCCUGUGUCUUUGUUGGUUCUCAGCCGUCAUAGCAGAAUCCUGGAACUGCGUAAUCUGUGAAGGAGUUUGUGUGAGUGACAUUUCAGCAAAGGAGAGAAGUUCAAGACUGGGUUGCCACAUCCAGUGAGGGUCUUGUGCUAAGUCAACUCGUGACAAAACACAGAAGGGCAAUCUGGCAUGGGUGGGAGAGAGAAAUGGGGGCCUAACAAGAAGAGCUAAGCCAUUCUCACAGGAAAAUCAGUCAUUUCCAAGGGCUCUGCCUCAUUAUCCAAACCCCUCCUAGGAGACCCCCAUGUCUCAGACUCUUUGGUCUGAUCUUGGGACCUUUUUCCUCCUCCUGUGUUGCCUUGUCCAGCACUGGUAUGAGGAUUUGUGUCGCGUCUUAUUGCAUCUUGUUGGAUCAUGUUCAGUGGAUAUCACUGGGAGGCUUGCUCUUUUCUGACGGGAAAUGAAAAAGCAAUAGAGCCAGGGAAAAGGGAAGGUGUGGAGGACCCAGGAGGAGUGGAGGAAGGGAAAGCUUCUGUGGGGAUGCAUUGUAUGAGAGAAGAAUGAAUGAAUGAAUGAAUGAAUGAAUGAAUGAAUGUCACCUUAAGGACCAACACUUACACAGGAGUUUUGAUGGAAACAAAUUGAAUUCAAACCCUAACACCUUAUUGUUGAGAUCUUUAUAGUCCUGCUAUAGAUGAACAACAGCCAAGUCCAGGCAAUUGUGGUGCGUGAUCAACUACAUCCAGGAUACAGAGCUGAGUACCCGUUUUGUGACAGGCACCUGUACCAUUGUAAAAUGAACUGAAAACACUGACUGAGAGACUGUAGGACAUCCAUGAGGAACUCUCCUGGAGACCGCUGACUCUGUGAGUCCCGAGGUCUGGAUGGAAGUAGACGAGAGGCUGAAGUCAGUAGAACGUCAGUGAUAAUGAAACCUCUGCCUGAAAUACCCGGGGACUAGAUCAGGGAAGGCAGUGUUCCUCUGCAAGAAUGCUAAGGCACAUGAAAGGAAGACUGUCCUUCAAAUGUGAAGAAGAGCCAGAAAGAAAGAGGAAAUCAAAACCUCAAGGUUUCUAGGAAUGGGGGGAAGGGAGGGAAUAAGCUAUGCCAAGCGCUUAAGGUAAGUCUGAGCUGCAUGUUGAUAAGUGUUUCUAACAUCUUUUUUUAUUGGAGUCUUGGGCUUUUGUUUUUAAGAUAAAUUUAAUUAGUAUGUGCUCACUAAAGUAUGUUUGUCAUAGCAAGGGAUUGUUUAUGUUACAAAUUUGAAUUUCUCAUAGUUGUGGAUCUCAGAUGUGCAAAUUGGAAAUACUUUUUGCUAACUGAAAAUUAAAAUCUUGUCCCAUUUCUGAUAACAGAUUCAAACUUGCCCUUGUGCAUGGAAUUCAGCUCCUCUUCUUCAAAACACACGUUUCUGGCUGGGGGAAGCAUAGCCAAAUCCAAAGUCAAUUCAUCCUACACUGUCUCACCUUCUAUGUGGAUGUUCCGGGCGCUCCAGAUGCCAGUGUAUUGUCCUCACGUGAGAUCAAUGUUCUGAUUGAACUCUGCUAGGUACAGCUCAUUCCUCCAGGCCUUGAGGGACAACUUCCGUUAUCACCGAGCCUACCAUACACAUUAGAGGUCCUAUCACAAUCUCUAGUUGUUUGUAGAAAUAAACUGAGUUGUUGCUGCUCUUUUUCUCAUA
Non-coding RNA from Myodes glareolus (Bank vole), 2021 nucleotides. NCBI's taxonomy places the organism in Eukaryota, Metazoa, Chordata, Mammalia, Rodentia, Cricetidae. The record is from RefSeq and is a predicted model, not a curated record.